Podarcis raffonei (Aeolian wall lizard) is the source of this 1468-nucleotide long non-coding RNA. RefSeq lists it as uncharacterized. The record is from RefSeq and is a predicted model, not a curated record. The transcript has 4 exons. NCBI's taxonomy places the organism in Eukaryota, Metazoa, Chordata, Lepidosauria, Squamata, Lacertidae.
CUAGCUGUAACCCUUCCCUCAGACUCUGGAAAAAUAUUGUGCGUAUAGGUCUGCCCGGCUGGCUAUUGUGCUUUGCGAAGGACCCCUGUUGAUGUCAGAAUGGAACUGUCCAAGUUUUAGGCCUUGUGUUGUUACUAAGUUGUGGGCCUGGUUAACACUAUCUGCUUGGUGACAAGCUGUGAAAGGAAAGAGUGUUGAUGGCUUUAAUAUGUAUAGAAGGGGGUAUGGAUCAAGUAACACCAUUUUGAUUGGGCUGGGAAGCAAGAGGCUCUGAUUGGCUGGAGAUGCUAGUCAGUGAAGAAACGGCAGUUAACUGUUGGGAAAGUCAGUUGAUGAGGGAGAUUUGAGCAAACACCAGAAGCAACUGAGGGGAGAGGAGGUAGCUGAGCUCUGGAGAUGAAGCUAUUCUUACCCAGCUUGGUGUGACCAGCACUGAUACCAACUGGAGAAAGAGUACUGCACUUUGCUGUAGGUAGCAGUGUGAGGGGAACCAGGAACCAAGAGCUCCCAGAUGACCCAGUAGCCAGGGCCAAAGAGGAAGUCAGAAGAACACAGGGCAAACCAGAAGCUAGGAUCAAGAAGCAAGCAAACAAAUAAAGAUUGAGAAGACCCUUACAUUGUGUAUCACUCUGAGACUGUGUUUGUGAGAAGGCACAAUAGUGACACAAGACAAAAACAACUAACAGACAGGCUAGGUCAUAUAAAGCAACCAGAAGGAAUCUCUGCCACACAGAGCAGCUAGAAGGAAGUUUUAAUAUUUUCAGCAGAACUUGUUGCAUUUAUUGAAAUUGAAGUUCAUCUAUUCAGGUAUUUGGAUUGCCCGUGGUGCUGGUUUCCCAUUGCAGUGAGGACAAUAACAUUGUGCUUUCACCAGGGAAGGGUUUCCCCAUCGAGGUUUACAAAAGUGCCAGUGUUUUUCUCUGAGAGACACGCAAGGGUGUUUAGGAUCUCUUUCACACCCUCAUCCACUUUCACUGGGGCUAGUAUACCCUGGAAAAGGAGAACAGCAGAAGUAGCUGACCUGUGACCCUCCAGAUGUUGUUGAGACUCCCAAAUCCCGUCUGCUUCAGACAGACAGCAUGGCCAUUCCAGUAAUCAGGAACUCUGGGAGUUGUAGACCAACAACAUCUGAAGAUCCACAGCAUAGCUAGCCAUGCUUUAAGGUGUCCCCCAACACUGUCAUUUGAAGCAGCUUUUCUUUAUAGAUCACUCAGAGAUGUAGAAAAAGCACAACCCUAAGAGUAUAGCCUGUGAUAUUCCUGGCUGCAUUUUGCAAUGCCUUGUCUACUGAGGCCACUGAAAGACCAAUUUAAUUCUCUUGGAGUCAGAAAUGAUCAUAAUCAUCAUCAUCAUCAUUUAUUGAAUUUAUAUAUACAACAUUCAGUGGCAAACAAUUCCACAGGCGAAUUGAUUAGUGUGUGAUGGAAUUCCCCAUGUCUUCUGAACCUGCUAUAGAUUGUGUUGGAUG